GAUGAACGCUGGCGGCGUGCCUAAUACAUGCAAGUCGAGCGAACAGACGAGGAGCUUGCUCCUCUGACGUUAGCGGCGGACGGGUGAGUAACACGUGGAUAACCUACCUAUAAGACUGGGAUAACUUCGGCAAACCGGAGCUAAUACCGGAUAAUAUAUUGAACCGCAUGGUUCAAUAGUGAAAGACGGUUUUGCUGUCACUUAUAGAUGGAUCCGCGCCGCAUUAGCUAGUUGGUAAGGUAACGGCUUACCAAGGCAACGAUGCGUAGCCGACCUGAGAGGGUGAUCGGCCACACUGGAACUGAGACACGGUCCAGACUCCUACGGGAGGCAGCAGUAGGGAAUCUUCCGCAAAGGGCGAAAGCCUGACGGAGCAACGCCGCGUGAGUGAUGAAGGUCUUCGGAUCGUAAAACUCUGUUAUUAGGGAAGAACAAAUGUGUAAGUAACUAUGCACGUCUUGACGGUACCUAAUCAGAAAGCCACGGCUAACUACGUG
This 497-nucleotide ribosomal RNA is filed under the name uncultured bacterium. Its description in RNAcentral is "partial 16S ribosomal RNA". It matches the Rfam family "Bacterial small subunit ribosomal RNA", at positions 28 to 507 of the family's 1533-position model. The record is from RNAcentral.